Molecule: long non-coding RNA, 725 nt
Organism: Spinacia oleracea (spinach)
Lineage: Eukaryota; Viridiplantae; Streptophyta; Magnoliopsida; Caryophyllales; Amaranthaceae
Exons: 2
Source: RefSeq, a predicted model, not a curated record
GCCUAUUUAUAAUAGUAAAAGAAGAAUUGUAAACACAUGAGCUAGCUUAGCUUAGAUCAUACAGUAUGAGAAUAGUAGGCUCAUUUAUAUAUAGUGCGUUUUGGAGCCCUUUUCUUAUUUAAGUAGAGCCUCAUGCUUCCACUCAAUUCUCAUCCCUGUACCCACAAGAGAGAGAAACAAAUACUUGGUAUAGAGAGAGAGAAACAGAAAGAUCGAAGUGGUGUUUAGUUGAUUGUGUUCCUAGCUAACAGCAGCUGGAGGAGGAAUCCAAAGGGAUCGCAUUGAUCCCAACUUAGCUAUUUUUAUGCAAAGUCUGUUUGUGGAUCAUGCAAUCUCUUUGGAUUUAUCCUUCCGUAGCUUAAUUUAUCAUAUCAUUUAAUUCAGUUCAGUUCAGUUCAGUUUAAUUCAUUUCCCUCGUAUUUUUAACCAACUACAAACAAUUUCAAAAAGGGCUAAUUCUUCUUCUGCUGAGAUGACGAACCUUGUCUACAUAAGAUAAAAAGUUCCACAACAUCAAUAUCGUGGAUAUAAUGCAAUUAGGAAUCCGGCUCAUUACCAUUAUUAAAGCAUUUACGGCCUGUUUGGUACCGGUAAUAAACGUUGGGAAUGAGAAUAUAUCUAAGGGACGUUUGGUUCGCAAGUUUGUAUGAGGUUGGAAUCAAGAAUGAUAUCAAUGUGGUAUGAGUUUGGAACUUGAUUCUUAAUACCAUGUGUUUGGUUUGAUU